RNAcentral lists this long non-coding RNA (1496 nucleotides) under Equus caballus (horse). RNAcentral's name for it is "lncRNA (ENSECAG00000055052.1)". The record is from RNAcentral. Lineage: Eukaryota; Metazoa; Chordata; Mammalia; Perissodactyla; Equidae.
CACAAAAAACAGUGAUAACAUUUGGGAACUAGCUCAUGGUUCAGGAUAUAACAUAGCUUAUGUUGUUAUCGGCUCCCCGACUAGUGUUUCGUGUUACAAUGUCUCAUCUAUUUUGGUCUAAGCUUUCGCUGCCUGACAUUGCUGACUCACUUGCUCUCUGCCUCCUAGGUUUGCUUUAUUCAUGGAUUCUUCUUACUGCUUCUUUUCACACUCUGAAUGCUAUAAUGCACAGCCAGGAGGUUUGGCAUCUGCACAACUAGGAGAAUAUAAAAGAUGCCCAAGCUCUGCCUUCUCCUUCACGGUGAUUUCUCCAACCCCUCCACUUUCUAUUAAGACCAUCCUUUGUUCUCUGUCUGAGUUGGAAAUAUUAUUGUUUUGUUUUGGGCAAAUGACUCCAAAAUCUCCGCUGUGGAUGGAAAGUUUUGUGACUAGAGCAGAAGGCAUGGCUCCUGCUCAUCUUGGGCAGUCUUCACAGCUGGUUUGUGAUGAUGCUCCUCAGAUGUCUUUCCCCUGGACACUCUUGCUGGGCAUCCUUAAAGAGAUAGAAAGUGUGGCCUGUACCUGGCAAGGUGCACAUGCAGUCCCCUGGUAAUGAAUGUUUUUAUAUUGUGAGCACUUCGUUGCCUGCAUUUCAGGGUGGGUGAAAUGAAAUAUACGAGGAGUUGAUGAAGCCUCUAGUGAGCAAGUUUCCAUGGCAGCCCUCAGAGGGUCAAGUUCUUCUCCAAAAGAGAGUAGUUUAUUUUCAAUUAACAAAGUACAAAGAGGUCCUUUUUGCACAUUUGCUUAUGGAAACUUCAGAUAAAUUUCCCCAGCCCUCCAGGUGCCACAUCCAGCGUGGAGGAAGGUCAUUGACUUCUGUAACAAUACAACAUCCGAGACAUGGGAUGUUGGUGAUAUGGAGCACAAAAGAAUGUUGGUUCUUAAUCAAAAUGGAAACAUUAUCAAAUUGACCUACUAGCCGUUCAUCAAGCACCUACUUAUAAUUCCACCUGCCAGAGAUGGCAAAUUUCCACUCUUUCAGAGUUCUGGGUUGAGUGUCAAGACUGGAUGUCUACUUAAUAGGAGAAUGAAUUGCAGCAUUCUUUGAGCUGCUGACCAAAGAUAGAGGUGUAAUCAACGAUCACAUUAAAUAUUCUAAGAAUCACAGCUUCUAUGAGGAAGCAGAGGUAAUAAUUAUCCACAUAUGCUCUAUAAAAGAGCAGUCCAACAUAUGGAAAUUUACCAUAAUGCAUUGGAAAGAAUAGGGAGAAAUUUUGCCCUAAAAUCCUGCAAAGUGAGAUUCUAUUUGACCCAGAACAAAGACUAGAAUUUCUCCAGGUCACUAAUUUUCUCUUCUGAUGUAUCCAAUCUGCAGCCAAAUACAACCAUUGAGAUACUAUAUCUUUUGGUUUCUGUAUUUUUCCAUUUUGGAAGUUCAUUUCUUUCUCAAAUAUGCUGUAUCAUUUUAUAUAGUUUUGUAUUCCAUGCAUAUAUUAUCAUGUUUGUCAUUUCUUUUA